This 193-nucleotide long non-coding RNA is filed under the name Coturnix japonica (Japanese quail). RNAcentral's name for it is "lncRNA (ENSCJPG00005002125.1)". Lineage: Eukaryota; Metazoa; Chordata; Aves; Galliformes; Phasianidae. The record is from RNAcentral.
UCUAUAGAGUGACUUCAGGGUCACUUCCGGGUCUAUAGCGUGACUUCAGGGUCACUUCCGGGUCUAUGGGGGUGGGUUCAGCGUCACUUCCGGGUCUAUGGGGUGGGUUCAGUGUCACUUCCGGGUCUAUGGGGGUCACUUCCGGGUCUAUGGGGUGGGUUCAGUGUCACUUCCGGGUCUAUGGGGUUAGUUC